Struthio camelus australis is the source of this 291-nucleotide non-coding RNA. The record is from the annotation of a RefSeq genome assembly. NCBI's taxonomy places the organism in Eukaryota, Metazoa, Chordata, Aves, Struthioniformes, Struthionidae.
GGAGGGCCCUGAAACAGUCGCCUGACACAGUCAGUCGAGUGGGGCAGUCUGUCAGCCUGAGCUGUUCCGAGAUGGAGACUUCACAUUAUCAGAUGUACUGGUAUAAAGUGCCUGUAGGGAUGGAGUCCAAGCUUGAAUUGGUUGUUUUUGCACUCAAAGACAUCAAGGUAGAGACUGAGAAGGAUUUCAGUGACGGUCGCUUCAAGAGCAGCGGCAUACAAGCUGAUGGUCUAUCUCUAUCAGUAGAUCCUGCCACUCUCAGUGACUCAGGCACAUAUUACUGUGCUGAAA